GACGAACGCUGGCGGCGUGCUUAACACAUGCCAGUCGAACGGAAAGGCCCUGCUUGCAGGGUACUCGAGUGGCGAACGGGUGAGUAACACGUGGGUGAUCUGCCCUGCACUUCGGGAUAAGCCUGGGAAACUGGGUCUAAUACCGGAUAGGAGCCAUUUUUAGUGUGAUGGUUGGAAAGUUUUUUCGGUGUAGGAUGAGCUCGCGGCCUAUCAGCUUGUUGGUGGGGUAAUGGCCUACCAAGGCGGCGACGGGUAGCCGGCCUGAGAGGGUGGCCGGCCACAUUGGGACUGAGAUACGGCCCAGACUCCUACGGGAGGCAGCAGUGGGGAAUAUUGCACAAUGGGCGCAAGCCUGAUGCAGCGACGCCGCGUGGGGGAUGACGGCCUUCGGGUUGUAAACUCCUUUCGCUAGGGACGAAGCUUUUUGUGACGGUACCUAGAUAAGAAGCACCGGCAAACUACGU
Molecule: ribosomal RNA, 464 nt
Filed under: uncultured bacterium
Lineage: Bacteria
Description: partial 16S ribosomal RNA
Rfam family: Bacterial small subunit ribosomal RNA
Source: RNAcentral